Molecule: ribosomal RNA, 492 nt
Filed under: uncultured bacterium
Lineage: Bacteria
Description: partial 16S ribosomal RNA
Rfam family: Bacterial small subunit ribosomal RNA
Source: RNAcentral
AGUGAACGCUGGCGGUAGGCCUAACACAUGCAAGUCGAACGGCAGCACAGUAAGAGCUUGCUCUUACGGGUGGCGAGUGGCGGACGGAUGAGGAAUACAUCGGAAUCUACUUUUUCGUGGGGGAUAACGUAGGGAAACUUACGCUAAUACCGCAUACGACCUACGGGUUAAAGCAGGAGAUCUUCGGACCUUGCGCGAUUGAAUGAGCCGAUGUCGGAUUAGCUAGUUGGCGGGGUAAAGGCCCACCAAGGCGACGAUCCGUAGCUGGUCUGAGAGGAGGAUCAGCCCAACUGGAACUGGGACAAGGUCCAGACUCCUACGGGAGGGAGCAGUGGGGAAUAUUGGACAAUGGGCGCAAGCCUGAUCCAGCCAUACCGCGUGGGUGAAGAAGGCCUUCGGGUUGUAAAGCCCUUUUGUUGGGAAAGAAAAGCAGCAGGUUAAUACCCCGCUGUUCUGACGGUACCCAAAGAAUAAGCACCGGCUAACUUCGUG